GAAGAAUAGUUCAUUGUUCCAUUAUAUUUUUUGUUUAUAAUAAAUACUUUGAUUUUUGGUAAUAAAAUUAUUUAAAAUGUUAUUUUGCAUGUAAAUUUUAAUAAGUUAAUUUUUUCUUAAUGAUUUAAAUUUUAUUUUCAGUAUAUAGGUUUUAAAAAAAUGAUUUUUCAUUUAGAUUAAACUUUUUACACUUGAAAAAUAUUGUGCCAGCAUUCGCGGUUACACAAUAAGGUGAUAAUAAUUUUUUCAGUUAUCAGUUUUUUUUUUAUUAUUUAUAUUUAGGUGAAAUUUAUAUAAAUAUUUUAUUUAAAAUCUGUUAAAUUUUUGUAUAAACCAGGAUUAGAUACCCUGUUAUUUUAAUUCAAUUUUUUUUUUUCUGGGGAGUAAAUUUUUUUUUAAAUUCAAUGGAUCUGGCGGUUUUUAAAUCUUUUUAGAGGAACCUGUAUUUUAAAUGAUAAUCCACGAUUGAUUUUACCUUUUUUUUCUUGUAUAUCUCUGUUGUUGAAUGUAAUAAAAAUUAAUUUUCUUUUUCUUUAUUUGAUUUAAUUCAGGUCAAGGUGCAGUUAUAAUAAGGUUAAUAUGGGUUACAGAAAUUUUUGUUUGUGGAUUAGUUUUUAAAUAAGUUUAUGAAUGUGGAUUUAAAAGUAAUUUUUUUUAUUAAAUUUUUUGAAUUUAGCACUUGAUUAUGUACAUAUCGCCCGUCAUUCUCAUGAAUUGAGACAAGUCGUAACAAAGUAGAUGUACCGGAAGGUGUAUCUAGAAUCAA
This 766-nucleotide ribosomal RNA is filed under the name Hemisphaerius rufovarius. RNAcentral describes it as "12S ribosomal RNA". The record is from RNAcentral. Lineage: Eukaryota; Metazoa; Arthropoda; Insecta; Hemiptera; Issidae.